GCAUGGAUAGCCAAGUGGUCAAGGCGCACGUUCCCGGGUCGUGGAGGUUGCGGGUUCGAUUCCCGCUUCGUGCU
Molecule: transfer RNA, 74 nt
Filed under: Strigamia maritima
Lineage: Eukaryota; Metazoa; Arthropoda; Chilopoda; Geophilomorpha; Linotaeniidae
Rfam family: tRNA
About the family: Transfer RNA (tRNA) molecules are approximately 80 nucleotides in length. Their secondary structure includes four short double-helical elements and three loops (D, anti-codon, and T loops). Further hydrogen bonds mediate the characteristic L-shaped molecular structure. tRNAs have two regions of fundamental functional importance: the anti-codon, which is responsible for specific mRNA codon recognition, and the 3' end, to which the tRNAs corresponding amino acid is attached (by aminoacyl-tRNA synthetases). tRNAs cope with the degeneracy of the genetic code in two manners: having more than one tRNA (with a specific anti-codon) for a particular amino acid; and 'wobble' base-pairing, i.e. permitting non-standard base-pairing at the 3rd anti-codon position.
Source: Rfam by way of RNAcentral